RNAcentral lists this ribosomal RNA (1391 nucleotides) under Escherichia coli. RNAcentral describes it as "bacterial LSU rRNA". It matches the Rfam family "Bacterial large subunit ribosomal RNA", at positions 1556 to 2925 of the family's 2925-position model. The record is from RNAcentral. Lineage: Bacteria; Pseudomonadati; Pseudomonadota; Gammaproteobacteria; Enterobacterales; Enterobacteriaceae.
CUGAGGCGUGAUGACGAGGCACUACGGUGCUGAAGCAACAAAUGCCCUGCUUCCAGGAAAAGCCUCUAAGCAUCAGGUAACAUCAAAUCGUACCCCAAACCGACACAGGUGGUCAGGUAGAGAAUACCAAGGCGCUUGAGAGAACUCGGGUGAAGGAACUAGGCAAAAUGGUGCCGUAACUUCGGGAGAAGGCACGCUGAUAUGUAGGUGAAGUCCCUCGCGGAUGGAGCUGAAAUCAGUCGAAGAUACCAGCUGGCUGCAACUGUUUAUUAAAAACACAGCACUGUGCAAACACGAAAGUGGACGUAUACGGUGUGACGCCUGCCCGGUGCCGGAAGGUUAAUUGAUGGGGUCAGCGCAAGCGAAGCUCUUGAUCGAAGCCCCGGUAAACGGCGGCCGUAACUAUAACGGUCCUAAGGUAGCGAAAUUCCUUGUCGGGUAAGUUCCGACCUGCACGAAUGGCGUAAUGAUGGCCAGGCUGUCUCCACCCGAGACUCAGUGAAAUUGAACUCGCUGUGAAGAUGCAGUGUACCCGCGGCAAGACGGAAAGACCCCGUGAACCUUUACUAUAGCUUGACACUGAACAUUGAGCCUUGAUGUGUAGGAUAGGUGGGAGGCUUUGAAGUGUGGACGCCAGUCUGCAUGGAGCCGACCUUGAAAUACCACCCUUUAAUGUUUGAUGUUCUAACGUUGACCCGUAAUCCGGGUUGCGGACAGUGUCUGGUGGGUAGUUUGACUGGGGCGGUCUCCUCCUAAAGAGUAACGGAGGAGCACGAAGGUUGGCUAAUCCUGGUCGGACAUCAGGAGGUUAGUGCAAUGGCAUAAGCCAGCUUGACUGCGAGCGUGACGGCGCGAGCAGGUGCGAAAGCAGGUCAUAGUGAUCCGGUGGUUCUGAAUGGAAGGGCCAUCGCUCAACGGAUAAAAGGUACUCCGGGGAUAACAGGCUGAUACCGCCCAAGAGUUCAUAUCGACGGCGGUGUUUGGCACCUCGAUGUCGGCUCAUCACAUCCUGGGGCUGAAGUAGGUCCCAAGGGUAUGGCUGUUCGCCAUUUAAAGUGGUACGCGAGCUGGGUUUAGAACGUCGUGAGACAGUUCGGUCCCUAUCUGCCGUGGGCGCUGGAGAACUGAGGGGGGCUGCUCCUAGUACGAGAGGACCGGAGUGGACGCAUCACUGGUGUUCGGGUUGUCAUGCCAAUGGCACUGCCCGGUAGCUAAAUGCGGAAGAGAUAAGUGCUGAAAGCAUCUAAGCACGAAACUUGCCCCGAGAUGAGUUCUCCCUGACUCCUUGAGAGUCCUGAAGGAACGUUGAAGACGACGACGUUGAUAGGCCGGGUGUGUAAGCGCAGCGAUGCGUUGAGCUAACCGGUACUAAUGAACCGUGAGGCUUAACC